AGGCUUCGGGUUGUAAACUGCUUUUGUACGGAACGAAAAAGCUCGGUUAAUACCCGGGGUCCAUGACGGUACCGUAAGAAUAAGCACCGGCUAACUACGUGCCAACAGACGAGGUAAUACGUAGGGUGCAAGCGUUAAUCGGAAUUACUGGGCGUAAAGCGUGCGCAGGCGGUUAUAUAAGACAGAUGUGAAAUCCCCGGGCUCAACCUGGGAACUGCAUUUGAGACUGUAUAGCUAGAGUGCGGCAGAGGGGGAUGGAAUACCGCGUGUAGCAGUGAAAUGCGUAGAUAUGCGGAGGAACACCGAUGGCGAAGGCAAUCCCCUGGGCCUGAACUGACGCUCAUGCACGAAAGCGUGGGGAGCAAACAGGAUUAGAUACCCUGGUAGUCCAAACCCUAAAAGAUGUCAACUGGAAGAAGAGUUUCCACUUGACUCAG
This 437-nucleotide ribosomal RNA is filed under the name uncultured archaeon. RNAcentral's name for it is "bacterial SSU rRNA". It matches the Rfam family "Bacterial small subunit ribosomal RNA", at positions 413 to 851 of the family's 1533-position model. The record is from RNAcentral.